Molecule: non-coding RNA, 441 nt
Organism: Galeopterus variegatus (Sunda flying lemur)
Lineage: Eukaryota; Metazoa; Chordata; Mammalia; Dermoptera; Cynocephalidae
Source: the annotation of a RefSeq genome assembly
AUGAUGUCCCCAUCACAUCUCCUUGGGCUUCUGCUCCUCUGGGUUUCAGCCUCCAGGGGUGAUAUUGUGCUGACCCAGUCUCCAGACUCCCUGUCUGGAACUCCAGGGGAGAAAGUCACCAUCACCUGCCAGGCCAGUCAGAGCAUUAGCACCAGCUUACACUGGUACCAGCAGAAACCGAAUCAGCCUCCAAAGCUUCUAAUAAAGUAUGCUUCUUAGUCCAUCUCUGGGAUCCCCUCACGGUUCAGUGGCAGUGGAUCUGGGACGGAUUUCACACUCACCAUCAGUAGCCUAGAAGCUGAAGAUGCUGCAACUUACUACUGUCAACAGAGCAGUAGUAAUCCUCACACUGUGCUACACCCCAGAACAAAAACUUGCUCAGCCUGGGUGCAGUUGGGGAAUGACCUGACCAGCACCACAAAGAAAGGGUCACUGCCUUGA